CUGUCUCCUGCUUCAACGGUGUUUGGACGAACAG
Molecule: non-coding RNA, 34 nt
Organism: Myotis brandtii (Brandt's bat)
Lineage: Eukaryota; Metazoa; Chordata; Mammalia; Chiroptera; Vespertilionidae
Source: Rfam